RNAcentral lists this ribosomal RNA (399 nucleotides) under Triticum aestivum (bread wheat). RNAcentral's name for it is "partial small subunit ribosomal RNA". The record is from RNAcentral. Lineage: Eukaryota; Viridiplantae; Streptophyta; Magnoliopsida; Poales; Poaceae.
CAAAAGCGGGAAUGGCCUAAUUGCAACUUAUGCCCUCUUUGCAAGCAAGUUCAAGAGACGGCGGCGCAUCUACUUUUUCGAUGCAGAUACGCUGUUAGAGUUUGGGGCAUGAUAAAGGUCCGGCUUGGCCUUCAUGACGUGAACCUUCUGGAUUGGAGCCACAUGGACUCCGUUAAAGAUUGGUGGGGCCACAACGCGUACAGAAUGACGCAAUCCCGAAGGCCGCUCAUCUCCCUCAUGCUGCUCAUUUCAUGGGAGAUACAGAAGGAACAGAACACAAGGGUCUUCCACAAUGCUGCGAUGCCGGCCGAAGUUAUUGUCACAAAGAUAAAAGAGGAGUGUAGUCUGUGGUGUCUUGCUGGGACUAAGCACUUGCGUAAUUUAUUGCCGCGAGAGUGA